UGCUGUCUUACAGUAAGUGAGGAAA
RNAcentral lists this non-coding RNA (25 nucleotides) under Rattus norvegicus (Norway rat). The record is from RNAcentral. Lineage: Eukaryota; Metazoa; Chordata; Mammalia; Rodentia; Muridae.